RNAcentral lists this ribosomal RNA (460 nucleotides) under uncultured bacterium. Its description in RNAcentral is "partial 16S ribosomal RNA". It matches the Rfam family "Bacterial small subunit ribosomal RNA", at positions 338 to 795 of the family's 1533-position model. The record is from RNAcentral.
CCUACGGGCGGCAGCAGUGAGGAAUAUUGGUCAAUGGGCGGGAGCCUGAACCAGCCAAGUCGCGUGAGGGAAGACGGUCCUAUGGAUUGUACACCUCUUUAGGCGGGGAGCAAUGCCGGGCACGCGUGCCCGGAUGGAGAGUACCCGCAGAAUAAGCAUCGGCUACCUCCGUGCCAGCAGCCGCGGUAAUACGGAGGAUGCGAUCGUUACUCGGAUUUAUUGGGUUUAAAGGGUGCGUAGGCGGAUUUUUAAGUCAGCGGGAAAAGGUCCGGGCUCAACCCGGGCCGGCCGUUGAAACUGGGGAGCUUGAGGGGGCGAGAAGUAUGCGGAAUGCGUGGUGUAGCGGUGAAAUGCAUAGAUAUCACGCAGAACUCCGAUUGCGAAGGCAGCAUACCGGCGCCCGACUGACGCUGAGGCACGAAAGCGUGGGGAUCGAACAGGAUUAGAUACCCGGGUAGUC